UGAGUAACCUGCCCUUCACUCUGGGAUAACUCCGGGAAACCGGGCUAAUACUGGAUAUGACUCGAACAGGCAUCUGUUUCGGGUGGAAAGAUUUAUUGGUGGAGGAUGGACUCGCGGCCUAUCAGCUUGUUGGUGAGGUAAUGGCUCACCAAGGCGACGACGGGUAGCCGGCCUGAGAGGGUGACCGGCCACACGUGGGACUGAGACACGGCCCAGACUCCUACGGGAGCA
Molecule: ribosomal RNA, 231 nt
Filed under: uncultured bacterium
Lineage: Bacteria
Description: partial 16S ribosomal RNA
Rfam family: Bacterial small subunit ribosomal RNA
Source: RNAcentral